UUUUUUUUUUUUUUUUUUUUUUUUUUUUUUUUUUUUCUGAUUUAGUGCUUGUUCCCUCUGUAUGACUCUCUCCCCACAUUCAAGACUGUCAGGGAAAAGCUGUAGAUAAGAAUAUCUGUAAACAGUGUUUUAGUGUCUCCCACACAGCAGUCUGGAACUGUCUCCCCUCGUGUUUUUGAAGGUUCAUGGAUUUCCCAAAUCAGUAGGAGUUUAUUGAUUUAUAUGCAGGCAAGCUUGUGUUACUACUUUGGUUACUCUUGUGCUUUUUCCUGGCUACUGCUAAUUAGCCUGGCAGAUCUUCCAGUGUUGCUUACAUGUAAUAGUAAAUGAAUAUAUCUUGUAUUGAGUUAUCAUAACAUUUUUUUUUCUAUGUUCCUUAAAAGAAUAAAAGGCACUUUGAAAACUCUUAUCUGAUAAAUGAAAGAGAUCCAGAUUGUGACCUGAUACUCAGAUAGUGCAGUCUCCUGCACUUGGACUAUCCCAUAGCCUCUUGUCACCUCAUACAGGUUCUUCUGGGAUAUUCAGGUCACUCCCUUGCUACUGCUUUCCUGUUAGUUACCCUCUGAAAGGUUUGUCCUAUCUCUCAAUUACAAUCCUACUCUGUCUCUGACAUCUCAUUGGGAUCCCAGCUCAGGUUAAAGGUUCUUUCUCUCUUCCAAGCUCUCACUCUUCCCUGUGUAUACAGAUGGAGUUUUUUUUUCUCAGCUGCUGUAGGCAGUCUCACCCUCCUGCUUCUUCAGUCUUUUGAGAAACAGAGGUGCCCAGGCUCCGGCUGACCUUGAGCCCACGUGUUGCUUCCCCAGGCUGCAGGCGGCGUGGAGAGUUCUGGCUUCCCCGGGGCCCUCCGUGCAGGCUGGAAGCCUGUCUGGCUGUGGAACAUUUCCUUUCCUCUGAGCAGAAACCGGGAUGCUGCUUUAUCUCGGGAGGUGGCAGCACAGCCAGAUCGAUCAGCGUAUGCAGUUUGACGCCCAGAACUGCAAAGGGGUGGCAGGGAGGUGGGGUUGUUGUUGGAUUCCUUCCGAGAUAGAGCUCCUUAGCUAGCAGCAAGGAUUAAGAUGGGGAGCACAGGGGUGCUCAUGCAUAGCAGGGAUAACUUCAAGCCCUUUCUUGAAGCAGAAUGGAAUCAGCCUAGCAUCCUCACGGUAACAUACUGGGAUCCCUCUGUCCUGACCGUGUUCUUCUGUAUGAGCUGCAGCUGAUUGUUAGGUGUGGUGUGGGACCCAGUGUGGGGACAGUGUAAUUUGCUGAGCCUGCAGGCACAGACCCAAUUGCUUGUUUGUUCAUGUGUGGGGAAAGGCUCUGCAGGAGUUUGGGCAGAGUCAGUAUGUAUCGUAUCGUGGGCUUUGCAAGCACCCACUUUCCUGCAGGCUGCCACAAUGGUUGCAUGUUGUUUUAGUUAUCAAGCGGUUCAAGGUAAAAUGCCAAGAGAGAGGAAGAGAAACAAUCAGUCACCAUCCCAUUAAAUACUACAACCUGCUCCUCUCUCAGAACCUUACCUGUUCUUUUUAGCCAGUUUGGAGGCUCCCAUUUUCUCAUGAGGUUUUAAUAAUUGUUUAUAAAGACAGGGGUACUAUAUGGGCUUUAAUGUGACCGUCAUCUGGAAAACAUACACAGAGGUGGGGUGUUUGGGUUUCCACAGAAAGCAAACACAGUGUGGUCCAAAAGUUGAUGAGAUAUAUUCCUUAAAUGUACCCCUCUGGCUCUGUUCUCUGAAUUUGAUUUCCCUAUGCCAAGCACACUGAAUCAACUGGAGAUGCUACAGAGCCUUGUACAGAGCUUUACUGGGAGGUUGUUUGCCUACUUCUUGAACUUUGAGAUUGUGGCAACACAAAAUAACCAUAGAUUCAGUAUUGCCCCAACAGUAAUUUAUGAAUGCUGUCUGUGGGCUUGUGCAUCCAAAAGCAAAGGGUGCUAGAAAUCCCAACUUGGACAACUCGAAUAAUUUUACUAACAUCAGCAACUGGAGGGCAGCCAACCAGUCAGGCCUACAGUUCUUUAAAAAGUAAUAAAGUGCACCUGAUUUUUGCCUCCUGGAUGGCAACCACUGACUGGCAACUGGUCCCAUAUACUAGGUAAUUUCUGCUUGAUGCUGCUUAGGGCGCCAUUGAAACCAUAACUUGAGCAGGCAGCACUGAGAGGGUGAAGCAGAGAACGGCAAGAGAAAACCUGAGGUUUGUAAGCACUUAGAAAAGGGCCAUCUCCCUCUUUGCUCCUGGCAGUCAUGGAAGGCCCAUACUUAACUCUCAAAACACUCUCACUCUGAAGAGUGUUUGAAAGUUCUGCAAUUCUCUUUCAGACCAGCUCUUUUCCUAACUAACCCAAGUGCCCCAGAAAGAUCCUGUCACACUGGAGGACCAGUCACGGUAACUGCUCAUCUUCUCUGGGGCUGGGAAACAGAAUGCAAACAGCUCAGGCAGUGAGGACUAAGCAGAUCCACCUUUCCUGUCUGCAUUUUCCUUCUAGCUCAGCUCUGGGGGAUCCUCCCACUGCCAUGCGGAUCCCUCUGCCCUGGAGGGACAAGUUGUAUCAGUAUGGCCACCACAAGCCUUCUGCACCACCAUGUGCAGGUGCAGAGCCAGGGCUGCAAGCAGCCACUGCUCCAGCAGUAGUUCCACAGCAGUCCAGUCAGGAACACGCAUUCAUAGUGCAUGUAUGGAGGAGGGAAGUAUUUGAGGGAUAAAUCCCACAUAGGAUAAUGUUGGUGACUGUAGAAAAAUAAACAACAAACCACCAACAGAAUGAAUAGAAAGGAGAAGGGCAGUGACCAAAAUCCAAGACAUUGGUUUUGAAAGGUUGGUGGUACAUUGCCUUUAGGAACAGUCUUUGACAACUGGGAGAGAGUUUGUCUCAGUUUAAUUGGGACUAACCAUAUUCACAGCAGUUGUCACAUGUCACCUAGUCUGUCUCCCUGCCUUUUCAAUUUGGCAGCCUUCUCUUUUUCCUCCUGCAUGUCCCAGAGGUUUGAAAAAUGAUCCAUUCUUCAAAGCAUCCCUGGUAAUUUGGACCACAGUGUUAUACUUCUUUUGAGACUGAUGCCUUUCAAAGCUGGAGCCUUUCUUCCUGCAGCAGCUCCUGACAACCCUCUAUAAUAUAUAGCCUUAAGAGGGGAAAACAGGUCUGAGGAGAUACACUUUUACUAGGAGGAAAGACAUUAGAAACGGCACUAAAAUGAACAGAAAACAGAUUAUUUCAAGCAAAGAAGGUAGCUUAGCCCUUUUUAUGAAGUGCAGGACUAUACUGUCACUAAUUUCACUUUGAAAAAUGUACUGGAGAUCUCUCAAUGCACUUGUUAGUAAAAUGCAUCUGCAUACCCAGAUCAGUAAUUAUGAACUAACUAAACAUGGAGAUGCAAUAUGUGUUCUGUCCUGCACCAUGUUUGCUGUCUUUCUUGUUUUCCUAAGAACACUCCCACCUUUUUAGCAAGAUUUAACUCGAGAUCUGCGUUGCUACAUUGUUUUUUCUGCCAGAUAAGGAAUGAUAAAUCCAGACCACGUGACUGCUGGCUGUAUGGCUUUACCCCAUUGGCAACCACCUCACCCUUCUGAUAUCAGCUGAAAGUGGGGAGACUAAAAUUUUAUACUACCUUAUAAGUCACCUAAAGUGAAAAUGAAUGUUAACAUCUCUCUGGUAUGUGUAUGCCCUAGUCUACAUGUUUGAUCAAUGUCGUGGUUUCUUGAGAAAUGUCCUGCUGGAGAUGUUGCCAUACACAUUUAGGAAUUAAGGUUAGAAUUGGUGCUUCUAUUAAUAAGAAAUCUUGCAAAUUCUGAUUUGAAAAUAACUGUUUUCUGGAAGGUGAAAAGUAUACUUUUUGAAGCACCCAACCCCCAUUUUCAAAAUACUCCUUUGCAAAAAUCCUGAAUAUGGAGCAACAGGACAGAAACCUGAAUUUGUGCAGCUGCAAUUUAUAGUGAUAGAGAUGCCCCAUAACCAAGCAGUAUCUGGGGAAAGGGGCAGUUCAGUGAAAUGGAAGCUUACCAUGUAGGUAAUGAGAGACAUUAAAGGGUGUUUACAUGAGGGAGGGCAUUUUUCUUCUUCAAACUUACCUUUAUUGUCUGUGCAACUUUCAGGCUCAGCCUGAUGCUGCAAAUAUUUAGGUAUGUGCAUAAGUCAAGGCACAAGUGGUACAUGUCUUUUAAAUAUUAAUCCAAAUCCAAACAUUAAAAUUAUUCAAACA
Molecule: long non-coding RNA, 4174 nt
Organism: Taeniopygia guttata (zebra finch)
Lineage: Eukaryota; Metazoa; Chordata; Aves; Passeriformes; Estrildidae
Source: Ensembl